GCCACCACCACGACCGUCAACGAUAACAACGCCGACCACCACUGUAUGAUAUUUGUUGUAUUUUAUACAGGUUUAUACUAAACCGCUACCUGCCGUCUUGUCGUCGCGUACACCGGCCGGUACACAGCACUCGGGAUAACACCAUUAAAACCGACGUAUGUCAUACUGUUUAUUAGAAGUAAAAAAAACCCGAACGAUCCAUUAGACACGGACAAUCUUUCAUUCCGGCCGAUAUAAUAUACUGUCGCGUGUAAUAUUAUACGCGGCGCGUGCGUGCAACGGACGGACGCGGUUCGCCGACUGUUUUUGUGUUUUCAAUGUUUCCACCGUGUGCUCUGGC
Cinara cedri is the source of this 340-nucleotide non-coding RNA. The record is from the annotation of a GenBank genome assembly. NCBI's taxonomy places the organism in Eukaryota, Metazoa, Arthropoda, Insecta, Hemiptera, Aphididae.